CGGCGGACGGGUGGAGUAAUGCCUAGGAAUCUGCCUGGUAGUGGGGGACGAACGUUUCGAAAGGAACGCUAAUACCGCAUACGUCCUACGGGAGAAAGCAGGGGACCUUCGGGCCUUGCGCUAUCAGAUGAGCCUAGGUCGGAUUAGCUAGUUGGUGAGGUAAUGGCUCACCAAGGCGACGAUCCGUAACUGGUCUGAGAGGAUGAUCAGUCACACUGGAACUGAGACACGGUCCAGACUCCUACGGGAGGCAGCAGAA
Molecule: ribosomal RNA, 259 nt
Filed under: uncultured Pseudomonas sp.
Lineage: Bacteria; Pseudomonadati; Pseudomonadota; Gammaproteobacteria; Pseudomonadales; Pseudomonadaceae
Description: partial 16S ribosomal RNA
Rfam family: Bacterial small subunit ribosomal RNA
Source: RNAcentral